CUUAUGUUAGGAGUGCAGUAUUGCAAGGAAAACAACACUGCAACUUCCCAGGGCAGAGCAGAAAAUGCUGUAUAUUAGAUGGUAGUUUAGGAUUUUGGAGAGCAGGACUUCUUGAGAACAGUGAAGAGAACACCAGGAAUGGAAGCAUUUCCACUUCUGAAGAUCAUUUUGUUUCACAUUCUUGUUACUGAGGUAACCACGGCAGGCUGUUCCAAAGAGAUGUAAAGUAAAUUUCUGACGUCUGGCGAAAGCUGGGGAGGUAAAAGGUACUUGGCCUAAAGCACUCUGUAAAAGACAUGAAGCCAGAGUGCUGCCAAGAUGCUGGCUAUAAUCAGCUGGCACAUGGGACAAGUCAAAAGAACAAGGGAAAUGACAGACACAGGGCUCAAGUGUGGUAGAUGUCAAGAAGUGUUAUCUCUGUUACAGCAUCAAUAUAUAUAUUUUUUUAACUCUGUAAAAACAUUUGUACUCUGGUGUGUUGUAAGGGUCAUUAUUAGAAACAUUUUUUCAAAAUGAUAGAAAGAGCCCCAGAUGGAGGUAGUUAUUUCAGUAAAAUACGUUCCACUUAAUUUGGACAUAUUUAAUUGGGACAGACGCUUUGUUGAAACAGCUCCCAGGGAACCAAUCUAUGACAGUAAUGAUAAUGACUGCUGCUUAAUUAGGACAGUAGUAGCAAAUUUUAAUGAAGGUGUAUUUUACCCAGGUGUUAAAGGUGUGUGAAAUUCUAAGCUUCAAUCUUUUGAUAGAAAAGUUGCCAAAUAACAAUUUAAAAGAAGAAAUGUAGAUGUAAUGCAGUGAUUAUUACUUUUAUGCAUUACAGAAUUUUACUUCAUCCCAGGUCUGCUGCUCUCUUUUGAGGGGUAUUUCCAAGUAGGGUCUGGAAAAGGCUACAGGUUUUCAUUUAUGGACAGAAUUUUGGACAUUGUAUACCUGUUGUCAGGGACAAUUAUCCAAAUAAGUUAAGGAGCUGGGAGGCUUCCAGAUGCUGGAAGGGUGCACGUAAAUUUUAGAUUAAUUUAAAUAACCUAUUUAAAGGCUUCAAAAUGUUUGGGGUCCAGAAGAAACUCCAGAAGUUUGGAUAUUUAUCCAAAACAAUGGAAGCCCUACUCAAAUGACUUUCCCUUUGAAUGUCUCCUCAAGGGGAGGGAGAGGACAGACAGCAGGUCCAUGCCUCCAUGAGUACUCUAAGGGCAAACCUGUUCCCUCACCUGAAGUGUUUCCCUUCUCAUAUGGACUUUCCCAUGAGGGAAUAGGAAUCUUCUGUCAUCACAGUGCCAAUUCUUCAAAUACCAUUAGUCAGUUCCCCCAAAAUUGUGAGGUUGGCUUAAAAAUCAUGAGAUUUUAAAAAAUAAAGCACAUUGUUUUGUGCUGCUUAGUUAUGAUGGUAAUGGGUAUCAGUGCAAAACUCAAAGACUGGGUGUGCACAGGAAGGUUAUACUGAAAAACCUUAAGGUGUGACUUUAAAUUGAUAUAGUUAUGCCAGUAUAACCCCAGGUCCUCUAGACAUGCUUAUUCCACUAUAGGAGUGAUUUUUUUCUUUUUUCCGUAUGUCACUUGGGAAGCUAAACUGAGUAUUCCAGAACAAGAGCAUUUGCAUGGGGGACGGGGGGAGAGGGGGAGGGGAAGGGGAUUGUAUUGGUGUAUUGGUAAAACUGCUAAAACUGUCCUGUGUAGACAGGCCUAAAAUGGAUGGAGGUAAAAUGUGGCAAAAAGUUACACUCAUAGAUUUCUUGGUCUUCCAGGACUUGUCUUCCCUACCUCUGGGAGCAAGCCCAUGUCCACAGACUUAUGCUAGAAGGGCUUGUGCUAGCUCUUUAAAAAUAGCUGUGUAGAUUGUGCCUCGACAUUGUAACUCAGGCUGGAGCUCAGGCACUUAAGUCCACCUCACCCGACCCAGGCUUCAGAGCCUGGCUCCAGCCCCAGCCACAAUGUCUACUCAUCUAUUUCUAGUACAAACCCACUAGGCCAAAUCUGUGGGCCCGUGCUGAGAGACUCGCUACCCAGUGUAGUGUAGACAUACCCACAGUGGCCAGAGAGGACUGGCAUACGGUGCUGAAGAAACUUUAUUAAGUGAGGGAUUCCUGGCAGGAGAUUAUUCUCUAGCUCUCUGCUAAAGCCUGUAGUCUGGCAUCUGCUCACACCACUCUGAGACAGAUUUGUAAAGGUAUUUAUGUGCCUCAAGAUGCAGAUAGGCACCUAGGGGGAUUUUCAGAAGCACGUAGGCACUGAACUCAAUGCCCUUAGAGCCCAAUAUAGAGAGAGAGAAGGAACUUUAAAAAAAAAAAAAAAAA
Trachemys scripta elegans is the source of this 2291-nucleotide long non-coding RNA. RefSeq lists it as uncharacterized. NCBI's taxonomy places the organism in Eukaryota, Metazoa, Chordata, Testudines, Emydidae. The record is from RefSeq and is a predicted model, not a curated record. The transcript has 3 exons.